Molecule: long non-coding RNA, 602 nt
Filed under: Salmo salar (Atlantic salmon)
Lineage: Eukaryota; Metazoa; Chordata; Actinopteri; Salmoniformes; Salmonidae
Description: lncRNA (ENSSSAG00000107166.1)
Source: RNAcentral
GUGGGUACUUUUAAUCUUUUUUUUUCAGAAAAAUUGUCCCAACUUUCCCUCCAGAGACUAAGUCUAGCCGUGCACAGGGUGACCGUGUGAGAUGUAAAUGGACAAACAAAGGGGCGUGCAAUAUAUAAGGCUAGUCAGUGGACAUUCUGAAAGUAGUUUGAGGGUUGUAGAUCACAUGACCAGGGAACUAUUGAAAUUAAAAAACGUUAAAAAAAAUCAUGUAAAACUGCAUGAUGAAAAUGGACAAACUAAAGGGUGUGCAAUAUAGAAGGGUAGUCAGUGGACAUUCUGAACCUUGUUUGACUCCAGUAGGUCACAUGACCAAGGAGCUAUUGAAAUUAGAAUCAUUGAAACACAUUGAAAAUGUCGAGAACCGGAAUAGAAGAAGCAUUACUUUUUUUUAAAUUAAGAGGGAUGCACACACACACACGUGAAGAAUCCUGCUGGGGAGAAGUGGAAGAAAAUGGGUCUUCAUCCUCAUCCUCAGGCUCAGACAACAUUUGUGAAGACACCAGUGUGGCUGAGGAGGUGGAUGGCUCCUCAUCCUGAGGCUCCGAGAUCAUUUCUGAAGAGGCCUGUGUGGCAGAGGAGGUGGAUGGCUC